Molecule: small RNA, 2115 nt
Filed under: Pongo abelii (Sumatran orangutan)
Lineage: Eukaryota; Metazoa; Chordata; Mammalia; Primates; Hominidae
Description: retained intron
Source: RNAcentral
AUGGAUGAGGAGCGCGCCCUCUACAUCGUCCGGGCCGGCGAAGCAGGGGCUAUCGAGCGGGUCCUGAGGGAUUACAGCGACAAGCAUAGGGCUACUUUCAAAUUUGAAUCAACAGAUGAAGAUAAAAGAAAGAAACUCUGUGAAGGCAUAUUUAAAGUCCUUAUAAAGGACAUCCCAACAACAUGUCAAGUGUCCUGCCUGGAAGUACUCCGCAUUCUCUCCAGAGACAAAAAGGUUUUAGUUCCUGUAACAACUAAGGAAAAUAUGCAGAUACUGCUGCGGCUAGCCAAGCUAAAUGAGUUAGAUGAUUCUUUGGAGAAAGUAUCAGAGUUCCCAGUUAUUGUGGAGUCAUUAAAAUGUCUGUGUAAUAUAGUGUUCAACAGUCAGAUGGCACAGCAGCUCAGCCUGGAACUUAAUCUUGCUGCAAAGCUCUGUAACCUCCUGAGAAAGUGCAAGGACCGGAAAUUUAUCAAUGACAUUAAGUGCUUUGACUUGCGCUUGCUCUUCCUUCUGUCACUUUUGCACACCGACAUCAGGUCACAAUUGCGCUAUGAGCUCCAGGGACUACCGCUGCUAACCCAGAUCUUGGAAAGUGCCUUUAGCAUCAAGUGGACCGAUGAGUAUGAAUCGGCCAUAGACCAUAAUGGACCUCCUCUCUCACCUCAGGAGACGGACUGUGCCAUUGAGGCCCUCAAAGCUCUCUUCAAUGUGACGGUAGACAGUUGGAAGGUGCAUAAAGAGAGUGAUUCUCAUCAGUUCCGUGUAAUGGCAGCUGUCCUUCGUCAUUGUUUACUAAUCGUAGGUCCAACUGAAGACAAAACAGAAGAGCUACACAGCAAUGCAGUCAACCUUUUAAGCAAUGUUCCGGUCUCUUGUUUGGAUGUUCUCAUUUGUCCGUUAACCCAUGAAGAAACAGCCCAAGAGGCAACGACUGUAGAUGAACUGCCCAGUAAUAAAACAGCUGAGAAAGAAACAGUUUUGAAAAACAAUACCAUGGUAUACAAUGGUAUGAAUAUGGAGGCCAUUCAUGUUUUACUCAAUUUUAUGGAGAAGAGAAUAGACAAGGGAAGCAGCUAUAGAGAGGGUCUAACUCCAGUUCUCAGCUUAUUAACUGAAUGUUCCCGAGCCCAUCGAAACAUCCGAAAAUUUCUCAAAGAUCAGGUUUUACCACCGUUGAGGGAUGUGACAAAUCGACCUGAAGUUGGCUCAACUGUGAGAAAUAAGCUGGUGCGCCUCAUGACACAUGUUGACCUUGGAGUCAAGCAAAUUGCUGCUGAAUUCCUUUUUGUCCUUUGCAAAGAGAGAGUGGAUAGUCUGCUGAAAUACACUGGCUAUGGGAAUGCUGCAGGACUGUUGGCGGCCAGGGGCCUCUUGGCUGGAGGAAGAGGAGAUAAUUGGUACUCAGAGGACGAGGACACAGACACUGAAGAAUACAAAAAUGCAAAACCAAACAUUAAUCUUAUCACUGGUCAUUUAGAGGAACCAAUGCCAAACCCCAUAGAUGAAAUGACAGAAGAACAAAAAGAAUAUGAAGCCAUGAAACUUGUCAACAUGCUUGAUAAACUUUCCAGGUAUUGUAUUCCCAUCCAUUUUUUGCUUGGUUUCUAAAAAUGGUCUAUUUCUUUGUCUCUCUCACUGAGAGUUACCAUAGAACAGCAACUCUGGAAAUCCAUGUUGAUUGGAAUAGGGUGGCCCAGGCAGCAGUAGUUCAGAUAGCUCUUGGCUACCAUGGUUUUUCUACAUGUGCCGCUUCUGGAUGUGCAUUCCUAAACAUUUAAACUCUCAAAGCUAAGAUAGUAACUACCAGAGCACUGUAAUAAUUAACCAACUAACCUCCCUGUCUUCAAAAAGAUGCUGUGAGUUAGAUUCAGUGAUUUUGCUGCUGCUUGUAUUUUUGUUUUAGCCUGUUUUAGUUUUUGUUUCAAAUCAUGAUGCUUUUAUUUUUUCAUUUUUGAUGUGUAAGUUUGCAAUUACGCCUUUUUGGGUUGCUGCUGAAACCAAGAAUUCUAAAAUGUCAUGCACCCAAUAAGAAAAAGUGAAAAGAAAUAGCUCACAUGAAGGAUUUUCUGAAAACAGGGACUUGUAUUAAUUAGGAGUUCUAAAAAAAAAAAAAAA